Molecule: long non-coding RNA, 592 nt
Organism: Oryzias latipes (Japanese medaka)
Lineage: Eukaryota; Metazoa; Chordata; Actinopteri; Beloniformes; Adrianichthyidae
Source: RefSeq, a predicted model, not a curated record
UCGGCCAGCAUGGCCGACACUCGCUGGCCUCCCCGGAUCAUGAAGCUGAUGUUGUUGCUGCUGAAAGCUUGGAGAACGGCUGGAAUGUGCUAAAAUGGAGAGAACGUGACGUGAAAAAGUUUCUGUGGAGUUCAGUUUGUGUGUGUGUGUGUGUGUGUGUCUGUGUGUGUGAGUGUGUACCUUAUCGACAGCCAUGCGGUUCUGGCCUGCUGUGCUGUCUCCUGAGAGGAUGUAGAGGUCAGCAGUGGUGGGGAGGCCAGCUUUCACCACUGUCACCAGAGACUCCUGAGGUAUGCCUGUGGACUGAGGUCAGGGGUCAGAGGUCAGAUUCUGCGCAGCUGAACUGGAUCAAACGAAAGUUUUUACCUUGGACACAAUCUUUGAGACCACCUGGCCGAUGUCGUCCCUCCACUCUGGGAUGUUGGGGUUGUAGCGGUCCAGGUUUCUGCUGAAGCUCACAGGGAGGACGUGGAAUUUAUCUGGAGCAAUAAAACAAACCCGAAGUCGAAGACGGAAACAAGUUCUUCAUCACGUCACACUCAAAUGGAGAUGCUUGUUCCCCCUGAAUAAAGAUGGUUUCUGGUACAAUUAC